UUGACCUCAAAUCAAGCAAGAUUACCCGCUGAACUUAAGCAUAUCAAUAAGCGGAGGAAAAGAAACUAACAAGGAUUCCCCUAGUAACUGCGAGUGAAGCGGGAAAAGCUCAAAUUUAAAAUCUGGCAGUGGUUCACUGCCCGAGUUGUAAUCUAGAGAAGUGUUGCUCACACUGGACCAUGUAUAAGUCUUCUGGAAUGAAGCGUCAUAGAGGGUGAGAAUCCCGUCUUUGACAUGGACUCCCAGUGUAUUUGUAGUAUGCUCUCAAAGAGU
RNAcentral lists this ribosomal RNA (273 nucleotides) under Amanita caesareoides. Its description in RNAcentral is "partial 28S ribosomal RNA". It matches the Rfam family "Eukaryotic large subunit ribosomal RNA", at positions 1 to 265 of the family's 3401-position model. The record is from RNAcentral. Lineage: Eukaryota; Fungi; Basidiomycota; Agaricomycetes; Agaricales; Amanitaceae.